This is a non-coding RNA of Punica granatum (pomegranate), 1193 nucleotides long. The record is from RefSeq and is a predicted model, not a curated record. NCBI's taxonomy places the organism in Eukaryota, Viridiplantae, Streptophyta, Magnoliopsida, Myrtales, Lythraceae.
CUUGUUUCUUCUUUUUUUUCCUGGCUACGUCUGCAGGCCCGAUCACCCUCUUAUCACUUCCUCCCUCCAUUUCAAAUUCUUCUGGCUGUCCCCGCUUGGUUGAGUAGGAAACCUUUCAUUGUUAGUGAUUCUUUGGACAGAUAUUUGGAUUCAUAGGCAUCGAUUACAGCUCUCCUACACUCGAUAUUGCCCUUAUGAAUCUCAUCCCGGCUUUCACUUUCAUACUCGCUGUCAUUUUCAGGUUCUAGGUUGGAAAAAUUGGUAUGGAAAAGCACGAGCAGCCAAGCUAAGGUUAUUGGAACCAUAGCAUCAGUUUCUACAAAGGCCCACCACUCACUGUGCCAACAACUAUUCAACUUCACCUCUCUCCACAGUCAAGGAGGGUCCUCGGUGGUUUCUUCCUAGCAGGAGUACUCAUGAUAGCAUCGUGUUACAUUGUCCAGGCGUUUGUCAUCGAGGAUUACCCGGAGGUGCUAAUAAUCACGUUCUACUUCAACUUCUACUUGACCACCUUGGCUGUCUCACUAAGCACUGGUCGCAGUGAGGGACCCUAAGUCAUGGGCCGUAAUGGUUGAGUCGGGUCUUGUUGCAAUCACAUUCUCGUCGUUGGUGGGGCAAUUUGUUCCGAGUCUUCGCGGCCAUAUGGGGCCUACAGAGGAGGGGGCCUGUGUAUGUUGCAAUGUUCAAGCCCCUCGGAGUAAUCUUUGCUGUGGUGCUUGGAAUAAUCUUCUUAGGUGACUAUUAUGCCGUGGAAGGUAUUUAAUAUUACAAUCAUUGUUGUGUUAUUUAUUUGUAAUGUUCCUUUGCAGUCUUUUUUUCCAUCUUAUGGAAUGCCCCAUGGAGUAACUUCGUAGGAGCGGCUCUGGGCCUUAAAGGGCUUAAUAGCCUUUAGGGCGGAGGCUAAGGUCGCUCAUGGGCCCUGUAACCAUAAAGCCAUGUGCCAAUGUCCAUAGAGUUCAUCCUUGAUAACUCAGAAGCCAAUUCACGAGUUAUGUGUUGAAGGUGGAUCCUGAAUUUGCUACUUCUAGGAGAUAUCGAUCUUUCCUACGGCUGUUGUCCUUUCUUUAAUUAGAACCCAAUAAUUCAGUUUAUCCUUGAUAGCUCAGAUGAGUGUACACGCUUAAGGGCUGAGUUUUUCCUGCGAUCGGGUUGAAGGCCUGACCAUUAGGCGUGGAAAGAGUUCAAAAUCAUGG